RNAcentral lists this ribosomal RNA (462 nucleotides) under uncultured bacterium. RNAcentral's name for it is "partial 16S ribosomal RNA". It matches the Rfam family "Bacterial small subunit ribosomal RNA", at positions 28 to 507 of the family's 1533-position model. The record is from RNAcentral.
GAUGAACGCUGGCGGAAUGCCUAACACAUGCAAGUCAUACGCGAACCUGCGCUUGCGCGGCCUAGCCAAGCGGGACGGGUGAGAAACGGGUAAGGAACUUGCACUGCAGACAGGGAUAACAGACGGAAACGAGUGAUAACACCCGGUAUUGUCAUGCUGGCGCAUGCCGGCCGGAUGAAAGGAGACGCUGCAGGAGAGGGUUGCGUGCUAUUAGCUCGGUGGUGGGGUAACGGGCCACCAAGGCGACAAGAGGUAGCCGGCCUCGGAGGGUGAACGGCCACACGGGGACUGAGAGACGCCGCUUACUCUCACGCGAGGCAGCGGUGGGGAAUAUUGGACACAGGGGGCAACACUCAUACAGCAAUUCUGUGUGUAAGAGGAAGGUUUUCGGAGUGUAAAGUGCUUUCAGAAGGGAGGAGGAAAGGACCGGUACCUGCAGAAGAAGCGAGGGCUAAAUCCGUG